GCGCAGCAGUCGCGAAAACUCUGCAAUACGCGAAAGCGUGACAGGGCUACCCCGAGUGUCGUCCGCUGAGGACGACUUUUCCACGCUGUAAGGAGGCGGGGGAAUAAGGAGAGGGCAAGUCUGGUGUCAGCCGCCGCGGUAAUACCAGCUCUCCGAGUGGUAGGGACGUUUAUUGGGCUUAAAGCGUCCGUAGCCGGCCCAGCAAGUCUCCCGUUAAAUCCAACGACUCAAUCGUUGGACUGCGGGAGAUACUGCUAGACUAGGAGGCGAGAGAGGCCGACGGUAUUCCCGGAGUAGGGGUGAAAUCCUAUAAUUCCGGGAGGACCACCAGUGGCGAAGGCGGCCGGCUAGAGCGCGCUCGACGGUGAGGGACGAAAGCUGGGGGAGCGAACCGGAUUAGAUACCCCGGUAGUCC
RNAcentral lists this ribosomal RNA (415 nucleotides) under uncultured crenarchaeote. RNAcentral describes it as "partial 16S ribosomal RNA". It matches the Rfam family "Archaeal small subunit ribosomal RNA", at positions 330 to 747 of the family's 1478-position model. The record is from RNAcentral. Lineage: Archaea; Thermoproteati; Thermoproteota.